RNAcentral lists this ribosomal RNA (301 nucleotides) under uncultured bacterium. RNAcentral's name for it is "partial 16S ribosomal RNA". It matches the Rfam family "Bacterial small subunit ribosomal RNA", at positions 509 to 809 of the family's 1533-position model. The record is from RNAcentral.
CAGUAGCCGCGGUAAGACGGAGGAUGCAAGCGUUAUCCGGAAUGAUUGGGCGUAAAGCGUCUGUAGGUGGUUUAUUAAGUCUGCUGUUAAAGCACAGGGCUUAACCCUGUAUAGGCGGUAGAAACUGGUAGGCUUGAGUAUGGUAGGGGUAGAGGGAAUUCCCGAUGUAGUGGUGAAAUGCGUUGAUAUCGGGAAGAACACCAAAGGCGAAAGCACUCUGCUGGGCCAAUACUGACACUAAGAGACGAAAGCUAGGGGAGCAAAUGGGAUUAGAUACCCCCGUAGCCCUGUCUCUUAUACA